Molecule: long non-coding RNA, 553 nt
Filed under: Androctonus crassicauda
Lineage: Eukaryota; Metazoa; Arthropoda; Arachnida; Scorpiones; Buthidae
Source: RNAcentral
CUGUGACUCCGAUGGCUCGGAGAGGUGUUGAUAUCAAAGUGAAAUUGCUUGAGUGACAUUAUUGAUGAAUUCUUGUAAAAAAUCUGCAAUAGUUGAAGUUUGUAUCGGUUGUGGAGGUAUUAGGAUUUAAGUAGCCUUAAGAUUUAUUGGCUGAGAAUAUGAUUAGUGUGUCUGAGGAGCGAUGGAAUGCUACUAUAAAUCUGCUUACUAACUUAACAGAUCAAGUGAUUAGUCUUCGAGAGCAAGUUACCAGAUUACGUUCGCCAGGGAUCUCACCAGUCACCCGAAGGUAUCAGUCGUCAGGACGGAACAACGUAAUCCGGAAGCGCCUGCCUUCGCACCGAGGCCGGAAUUGUCGUCACUAUCUCGACCAAUUGUUAUUAUGAAUGCUCCGUUGCCACCCAUGCCGAAAUAUGACGGUAAGACAAACAAAAAUGAUUUUUUCUCUGGUAUGGAACACUAUUUUGAAUAUAGUUAUUUGUUAGAAACUAAUAAAAGACCUGAGCUCAGACAGGACUCUGAAUUUUGCAGAGUCGUGUUAACCGUUAGGUUU